Molecule: ribosomal RNA, 326 nt
Filed under: uncultured eukaryote
Lineage: Eukaryota
Description: partial 18S ribosomal RNA
Rfam family: Eukaryotic small subunit ribosomal RNA
Source: RNAcentral
CCCUUAGAUGUUCUGGGCCGCACGCGCGCUACAAUGAUGCAAUCAACGAGUGCAGUACCUUAACCGAAAGGUUUGGGAAAACUUGCAAAUUGCAUCGUGUUAGGGAUAGAUGAUUGCAAUUAUUCAUCUUGAACGAGGAAUGCCUUGUAAGCGUGAGUCAUCAACUCGCGCUGAAUACGUCCCUGCCCUUUGUACACACCGCCCGUCGCUCCUACCGAUUGGAUGGUCCGGUGAAAUGUUCGGAUUUAAACGUUUGCGCGGGUGCGACAAAACGUCUAGAAAAGUUCAUUGAGCCUUACCAUCUAGAGGAAGGAGAAGUCGUAACA